This 253-nucleotide ribosomal RNA is filed under the name uncultured bacterium. Its description in RNAcentral is "partial 16S ribosomal RNA". It matches the Rfam family "Bacterial small subunit ribosomal RNA", at positions 524 to 776 of the family's 1533-position model. The record is from RNAcentral.
UACGUAGGUGGCAAGCGUUGUUCGGAAUCACUGGGCAUAAAGCGCACGUAGGCGGUCUGUUAAGUCAGGUGUGAAAGCCCCCGGCUCAACCGGGGAAUUGCAUUUGAUACUGGCAGGCUCGAGAACGGUAGGGGUGAGUGGAACUCCAGGUGGAGCGGUGAAAUGCGUAGAUAUCUGGAGGAACACCGGUGGCGAAAGCGGCUCACUGGACCGUCACUGACGCUGAGGUGCGAAAGCUAGGGUAGCAAACGGG